RNAcentral lists this ribosomal RNA (407 nucleotides) under uncultured bacterium. Its description in RNAcentral is "partial 16S ribosomal RNA". It matches the Rfam family "Bacterial small subunit ribosomal RNA", at positions 28 to 526 of the family's 1533-position model. The record is from RNAcentral.
GACGAACGCUGGCGGCGUGCCUAAUACAUGCAAGUCGAACGCAGUUGCGAACGGGUGAGUAACGCGUAGGUAACUGCCUGGUAGCGGGGGAUAACUAUUGGAAACGAUAGCUGAUACCGCAUACUACCAGAUGGACCUGCGUUGUAUUAGCUAGUUGGUGGGGUAACGGGUCACCAAGGCAACGCUACAUAGCUGACCUGAGAGGGUGAGCGGGCACACUGGGAAUUGGACAAGGCCCAGACUUCCAAGGGAGGCGGCAGGAGGGAAUCUUUGGCAAUGGACGGAAGGCUGACCGACCAACGCCGGGGGAGUGAAGAAGGGUUUCGGAUCGGAAAGCUCUGGUGUAAGAGAAGCGGUAUCUUACCAGAAAGGGACGGCUAACUACGUGCCAGCAGCCGCGGUAAUUC